This 253-nucleotide ribosomal RNA is filed under the name uncultured bacterium. Its description in RNAcentral is "partial 16S ribosomal RNA". It matches the Rfam family "Bacterial small subunit ribosomal RNA", at positions 524 to 776 of the family's 1533-position model. The record is from RNAcentral.
CACAGAGGGUGCAAGCGUUAAUCGGAAUUACUGGGCGUAAAGCGAACGUAGACGGUUGGAUAAGUCGGAUGUGAAAGCCCCGGGCUCAACCUGGGAAUUGCAUUCGAGACUGUUCAGCUAGGGUGCGGAAGAGGGAAGCGGAAUUUCCGGUGUAGCGGUGAAAUGCGUAGAUAUCGGAAGGAACACCAGUGGCGAAAGCGGCUUCCUGGUCCAGCACCGACGUUCAGGUUCGAAAGCAUGGGGAGCAAACAGG